RNAcentral lists this ribosomal RNA (661 nucleotides) under uncultured archaeon. RNAcentral describes it as "bacterial SSU rRNA". It matches the Rfam family "Archaeal small subunit ribosomal RNA", at positions 1 to 660 of the family's 1478-position model. The record is from RNAcentral.
UUCGCCCUUUUCCGGUUGAUCCUGCCGGACCUGACUGCUAUCGGAUUGAUACUAAGCCAUGCGAGUCAUUGUAGCAAUACAAGGCAGACGGCUCAGUAACGCGUAGUCAACCUAACCUAUGGACGGGAAUAACCUCGGGAAACUGAGAAUAAUGCCCGAUAGAACACUAUACCUGGAAUGGUUUGUGUUCCAAAUGAUUUAUCGCCGUAGGAUGGGACUGCGGCCUAUCAGUUUGUUGGUGAGGUAAUGGCCCACCAAGACUAUUACAGGUACGGGCUCUGAGAGGAGUAGCCCGGAGAUGGGUACUGAGACACGGACCCAGGCCCUAUGGGGCGCAGCAGGCGAGAAAACUUUGCAAUGUGCGAAAGCACGACAAGGUUAAUCCGAGUGAUUUGUGCUAAACGAAUCUUUUGUUAGUCCUAGAACCACUAACGAAUAAGGGGUGGGCAAGUUCUGGUGUCAGCCGCCGCGGUAAAACCAGCACCUCAAGUGGUCAGGAUGAUUAUUGGGCCUAAAGCAUCCGUAGCCGGCUCUGUAAGUUUUCGGUUAAAUCUGUACGCUUAACGUACAGGCUGCCGGGAAUACUGCAGAGCUAGGGAGUGGGAGAGGUAGACGGUACUCGGUAGGAAGGGGUAAAAUCCUUUGAUCUAUUGAUGACCAC